Perognathus longimembris pacificus (Pacific pocket mouse) is the source of this 184-nucleotide long non-coding RNA. RefSeq lists it as uncharacterized. The record is from RefSeq and is a predicted model, not a curated record. Lineage: Eukaryota; Metazoa; Chordata; Mammalia; Rodentia; Heteromyidae. The transcript has 3 exons.
UCUGAGUAGUUUAUUGGAGAGACGAGUCUCACAGACUUUCCUGCUCUGGCUGGCUUUGAACCUCAAUCCUCAGCUCCCAGCCUCAUGAUGACAAGUGUGAGCCACUGAUACCCAGCCUAGUUCGUUUGCUAAGUGUUACUUGGUCUUAGAAUUGAUAAAAUUGUUUUUUUUUCUAGGCUCAUAA